GCGGGUGUAGCUCAGUGGUAGAGCAUCUCGUUGCCAACGAGAAUGUCGUGAGUUCGACUCUCAUCACCCGCUCCA
This 75-nucleotide transfer RNA is filed under the name hydrothermal vent metagenome. Its description in RNAcentral is "tRNA-Gly-GCC". It matches the Rfam family "tRNA". From Rfam's summary of the family: Transfer RNA (tRNA) molecules are approximately 80 nucleotides in length. The record is from RNAcentral.